Molecule: transfer RNA, 72 nt
Filed under: Heterocephalus glaber (naked mole-rat)
Lineage: Eukaryota; Metazoa; Chordata; Mammalia; Rodentia; Bathyergidae
Rfam family: tRNA
About the family: Transfer RNA (tRNA) molecules are approximately 80 nucleotides in length. Their secondary structure includes four short double-helical elements and three loops (D, anti-codon, and T loops).
Source: Rfam by way of RNAcentral
AGAGGUGUCACUCAGUGGUAGGGAGCUUGCCUAGCAUGCAUGAGGCCCUGGGUUCAAUCCCCAGCACCACUA